RNAcentral lists this long non-coding RNA (284 nucleotides) under Elaeis guineensis (African oil palm). RNAcentral describes it as "long non-coding RNA (EGUI_LNC050327)". Lineage: Eukaryota; Viridiplantae; Streptophyta; Magnoliopsida; Arecales; Arecaceae. The record is from RNAcentral.
CUUCUGUCAAGCAUUUGCAGACCAAUAAGCUUGAAUCUCAAUCUGAUAAGUAUCAUUUCAUAAGGUACCCCCAGAAAACUAGGAAUAUAACUUCUACCUUACUGAAGAACAAAAAUUGUUCAUCAGUAAUAAGAUAUUUUUUUUGAAAAAAAAGUUUUUUAAUGAAGAAACUGAUGCCUCUAAAGUUGAACUUAUGAAGUUCGACAGGGAGAAGAACCAAUACAAUCUAGUGAACCCAUAGAACUAGAUUUGAUUAGAUCAAAUUUAAAACCCAUUAUAGAGGC